AGACCCGAAACCCGGUGAUCUAGCCAUGGGCAGGUUGAAGGUUGGGUAACACUAACUGGAGGACCGAACCGACUAAUGUUGAAAAAUUAGCGGAUGACCUGUGGCUGGGGGUGAAAGGCCAAUCAAACCGGGAGAUAGCUGGUUCUCCCCGAAAGCUAUUUAGGUAGCGCCUCGUGAAUUCAUCUCCGGGGGUAGAGCACUGUUUCGGCUAGGGGGCCAUCCCGGCUUACCAACCCGAUGCAAACUGCGAAUACCGGAGAAUGUUAUCACGGGAGACACACGGCGGGUGCUAACGUCCGUCGUGAAGAGGGAAACAACCCAGACCGCCAGCUAAGGUCCCAAAGUCAUGGUUAAGUGGGAAACGAUGUGGGAAGGCCCAGACAGCCAGGAUGUUGGCUUAGAAGCAGCCAUCAUUUAAAGAAAGCGUAAUAGCUCACUGGUCGAGUCGGCCUGCGCGGAAGAUGUAACGGGGCUAAACCAUGCACCGAAGCUGCGGCAGCGACACUCAGGUGUUGUUGGGUAGGGGAGCGUUCUGUAAGCCUGCGAAGGUGGCCUGUGAGGGUUGCUGGAGGUAUCAGAAGUGCGAAUGCUGACAUAAGUAACGAUAAAGCGGGUGAAAAGCCCGCUCGCCG
This 632-nucleotide ribosomal RNA is filed under the name Salmonella enterica subsp. enterica serovar Infantis. Its description in RNAcentral is "partial 23S ribosomal RNA". It matches the Rfam family "Bacterial large subunit ribosomal RNA", at positions 711 to 1339 of the family's 2925-position model. The record is from RNAcentral. Lineage: Bacteria; Pseudomonadati; Pseudomonadota; Gammaproteobacteria; Enterobacterales; Enterobacteriaceae. RNAcentral also lists the same sequence under 1 other name.